This 72-nucleotide transfer RNA is filed under the name Camelus bactrianus (Bactrian camel). It matches the Rfam family "tRNA". Rfam says of the family: Transfer RNA (tRNA) molecules are approximately 80 nucleotides in length. Their secondary structure includes four short double-helical elements and three loops (D, anti-codon, and T loops). RNAcentral also lists the same sequence under 2 other names. Lineage: Eukaryota; Metazoa; Chordata; Mammalia; Artiodactyla; Camelidae. The record is from Rfam by way of RNAcentral.
GAGGGUGUAGCUCAGUGGUAGAGUACAUGCUUAGCAUGCAUGAGGUCCUGGGUUCAAUCCCUAGUACCGCCA